Benincasa hispida (wax gourd) is the source of this 1008-nucleotide long non-coding RNA. RefSeq lists it as uncharacterized. Lineage: Eukaryota; Viridiplantae; Streptophyta; Magnoliopsida; Cucurbitales; Cucurbitaceae. The record is from RefSeq and is a predicted model, not a curated record.
UGUCAGAGCGGGCUGCUCGUAUGCCCUCCGAACGAAUAAUCUCCUGUACGACGAAGUGUAAGAGUGUGGUCUUGCCGUCGGUUCCUUUUACAUCCGCCAGUUUCAGGAGCGUAUCGAGCUUGAACGCCUGAGCACCGCCACGACAUUGAUAGCAUGAAGAGAAGACACUCUAAUCGUUUAAAAGCAAAAGGAACAUCCACCAACACUUUGAGGAAUCGUUCUGCUGGACCUAGCUGAGAAAGAUCCCCUGAAAAUAAUCUCAGUUUCAGUUCCUCUUCUGUUGUUGGUGCCAUCUUCAACAAGGUUUGUAGAAGCUCUGCUGGAAGAUCAGGAUUUCCUGAAUAUUGUUUUAUUUUGCAGAUGAUGAAGAGGAAAGAAAAAAACAGAAACAAAAAGGAUGGAGGUUCACACCACUAAAGAUUGUUUAAAUGUACCCUGAGGAACCACACGAGUGAUGAAAAUGAUCUAGGGAUCUAGGUUCUGUGUCUUUGGCGAGGUGUCCCACUAGAUAGUCAGAAGAUCCUGAGAUAUGGGAGUUGAGCCAGUAGAAGGAAUCUUCGUAUAGAAUUGUCAGAAGGGACUACAGGUCCAGUUCUGAGCCUAUGGCGAGAUUCAAGGUUGACAUGUGCACAUGGUCAGGUGAUAAUGAGUUCAGGUUUUGAUUUUCGGGACUCAGUUUUAAUGUGAAUCUGGUUUGGAAUUUAUUUGUGAUCAUGUCAUACUAUUGCUUAAUAUGUUUUAUCAAGUUGAUGCGUGAAGAGGAAGAGUUCUGAAGUGCUACUGGAAGCCAAGGUCUACCACACUACAGGAACAAUUCCUUGUCUUAGGUUUUUUUAAGUGUAACGAUCGGAUCCUUACAUACUAUGGUCCGACCUCUACGACAUGCAUGCUUAGACUUUUCUAUUAUGAGAUGAGUUUUGGUAAAAAUCUCAAAAGAACAUAUCUAAGAUUUUAUUAAUUAGGUAGAAAACUAUAUAAAAAGUUUAUUUUACAAAACACCAGGAUCCA